This 76-nucleotide transfer RNA is filed under the name Crocinitomicaceae bacterium. Its description in RNAcentral is "tRNA-Thr". It matches the Rfam family "tRNA". From Rfam's summary of the family: Transfer RNA (tRNA) molecules are approximately 80 nucleotides in length. Their secondary structure includes four short double-helical elements and three loops (D, anti-codon, and T loops). Lineage: Bacteria; Pseudomonadati; Bacteroidota; Flavobacteriia; Flavobacteriales; Crocinitomicaceae. The record is from RNAcentral.
GCCGGCGUAGCUCAAUUGGUAGAGCAGCUGUUUUGUAAUCAGAAGGUUGAGGGUUCAAGUCCUUUUGCCGGCACCA